AUUGAACGCUGGCGGCAUGCCUUACACAUGCAAGUCGAACGGUAACAGGUCUUCGGAUGCUGACGAGUGGCGAACGGGUGAGUAAUACAUCGGAACGUGCCUAGUAGUGGGGAUAACUACUCGAAAGAGUGGCUAAUACCGCAUGAGAUCUACGGAUGAAAGCAGGGGAUCGCAAGACCUUGUGCUACUAGAGCGGCCGAUGGCAGAUUAGGUAGUUGGUGGGAUAAAAGCUUACCAAGCCGACGAUCUGUAGCUGGUCUGAGAGGACGAUCAGCCAAACUGGGACUGAGACACGGCCCAGACUCCUACGGGGGGCAGCAGUGGGGAAUUUUGGACAAUGGGCGAAAGCCUGAUUCAGCAAUGCCGCGUGCAGGAUGAAGGCCUUCGGGUUGUAAACUGCUUUUGUACGGAACGAAAAGCCCCGGGUUAAUACCCUGGGGUCAUGACGGUACCGUAAGAAUAAGCACCGGCUAACUACGUGCCAGCCGCCGCAGUAA
Molecule: ribosomal RNA, 497 nt
Filed under: uncultured bacterium
Lineage: Bacteria
Description: partial 16S ribosomal RNA
Rfam family: Bacterial small subunit ribosomal RNA
Source: RNAcentral